RNAcentral lists this ribosomal RNA (464 nucleotides) under uncultured bacterium. Its description in RNAcentral is "partial 16S ribosomal RNA". It matches the Rfam family "Bacterial small subunit ribosomal RNA", at positions 338 to 795 of the family's 1533-position model. The record is from RNAcentral.
CCUACGGGAGGCAGCAGUGGGGAAUCUUCCGCAAUGGGCGAAAGCCUGACGGAGCAACGCCGCGUGAUCGAAUGAAGGCCUUCGGGUUGUAAAGAUCUGUUUACAGGGACGAAUAAGCAAUGCGAAUAGUUUUGUGUAUGACGGUACCUGUUUAGAAAGCUCCUGCUAACUACGUGCCAGCAGCCGCGGUAAGACGUAGGGAGCAAGCGUUUUCCGGAAUUACUUGGCGUAAAGGGCGCGGAGGUUGGCGCUUAAGUCCGGUGUGAAAACUCCGGGCUUAACCUGGAGACUGCAGUUGAAACUGGGUAUCUUGAGUGCAAGAGAGGAAAGUGGAAUUCCUAGUGGAGCGGUGAAAUGCGUAGAUAUUAGGAGGAACACCAGUGGCGAAGGCGACUUUCUGGACUGUAACUGACGCUGAGGCGCGAAAGCGUGGGGAGCGAACGGGAUUAGAUACCCUAGUAGUC